Molecule: non-coding RNA, 901 nt
Organism: Rattus norvegicus (Norway rat)
Lineage: Eukaryota; Metazoa; Chordata; Mammalia; Rodentia; Muridae
Source: RefSeq, a predicted model, not a curated record
GAGCUACUGGAAUUCCAGAUACACGUGCCCCUCGGAACGAGUGCUAGCUCCACAGACUCUUGUCAACUGACAUUCCUUCUUUGCAUUGGAUGCAAGAUUUUUUUAUGUGACAGAGUCAGGAAGUGUUAUACUAGACUUAAUGGCAUUUUGUGUACUCUGCAGUAGGGAGUUUUUAAUUCUCCAGAUUUUUUUUUUUUAACCUAAACAUGGGGAAAGGUUUGUGAGUUAAAGACAGGGUAUGAGUGCAGACAGAUUCUUUGCAACACCAUGGUGGGCCCUUUGCUUAAGUAUUUUCAUUUCCUUUGUUCAAUGGGAGAAAAUAAAAAAUUCCUGUGCUCAAGUUGGCCUUAUGAGACCAUAUUAUUUUGUAUCCAUCUCAAGAAAUAAAAGAAUAAUAAACGUUAUGACAUAACUGUGAGCAACAUUUUCUUUAAACCUCAGAUGAUGGGAUAAGCUAAUAACCAAUGGAGAGAGGAUGUAGAAACCAAAGUUCCAUAAUUACUCAUGGUACGGACUAUGUAUUAGCCUUUGCCAAGAUACAAUUAAACACCUGCCCCACCCUGUCCACAUCUCCUGACUCUUCAUGAUGCUCACAGAAUCAGAGAAAAUACAAGAAAGCAAAUGAAGUGAGAGCAGCAUCUCUGUGAGUGGUGGCAAAGGCUACAUUUAUAUUUAAGGUGAAGGUUCUAGUAGGACCUCUUCCCUAUUAGUACUUCAGACUGCACUUUGAGAACACAUCCACUGCAGAUGUGACUAAUUGAGGUAUGUUCACUCGCGUCAAUUAGAAAGCCAGAGGAAGUUGCUCUUUUCUUCAGUUGCUCUGUACCUCAUUUUUGAGCGGAGGUCUCUCAAACCUGAAGUGCAUCAGUUGGACUAGGCUGGGCAGCCAAAGAGCUCGAAG